CCUACGGGAGGCAGCAGUGGGGAAUCUUGCGCAAUGGGCGAAAGCCUGACGCAGCCAUGCCGCGUGAAUGAUGAAGGUCUUAGGAUUGUAAAAUUCUUUCACCGGGGACGAUAAUGACGGUACCCGGAGAAGAAGCCCCGGCUAACUUCGUGCCAGCAGCCGCGGUAAUACGAAGGGGGCUAGCGUUGCUCGGAAUUACUGGGCGUAAAGGGAGCGUAGGCGGAUAGUUUAGUCAGAGGUGAAAGCCCAGGGCUCAACCUUGGAAUUGCCUUUGAUACUGGCUAUCUUGAGUACGGAAGAGGUAUGUGGAACUCCGAGUGUAGAGGUGAAAUUCGUAGAUAUUCGGAAGAACACCAGUGGCGAAGGCGACAUACUGGUCCGUUACUGACGCUGAGGCUCGAAAGCGUGGGGAGCAAACAGGAUUAGAUACCCUGGUAGUCCACGCUGUAAACGAUGAGUGCUAGUUGUCGGCAUGCAUGCAUGUCGGUGACGCAGCUACGACAUUAAGACACUCCGCCGUCGGGGAGGUACGGUCGCGAAGAAUUAAACUACAAUAGAAGUUAGACGGCGUGAGACGUGCCGACGGACGACGACGAGGGAGGUUAGG
Molecule: ribosomal RNA, 607 nt
Filed under: uncultured bacterium
Lineage: Bacteria
Description: bacterial SSU rRNA
Rfam family: Bacterial small subunit ribosomal RNA (bases 1-518)
Source: RNAcentral